CUGGCGGCGUGCCUAAUACAUGCAAGUCGAUCGCUGGAAACCUAGCUUGCUAGGUGGAAGGAGAGGCGAACGGGUGAGUAAUACAUAAGCAACCUGCCCACGAAGACUGGGAUAAUCCUUGGAAACGAGGACUAAUACCGGAUAGGUUACGAAUUCGCAUGAAUUUGUAAUUAAAGGUUAGAAACACUGGUGGAUGGGCUUAUGGUGCAUUAGCUAGUUGGUGAGGUAACGGCCCACCAAGGCGAUGAUGCAUAGCCGGGCUGAGAGGCUGAACGGCCACAUUGGGACUGAGACACGGCCCAGACUCCUACGGGAGGCAGCAGUAGGGAAUUUUCGGCAAUGGGGGAAACCCUGACCGAGCAACGCCGCGUGAGUGAUGAAGGUCUUCGGAUUGUAAAGCUCUGUUGUAAGGGAAGAAUGAAUUGGAUAGAAUCCGAUUGUGACGGUACCUUACCAGAAAGCUACGGCUAACUACGUGCCAGCAGCCGCGGUAAUACGUAGGUAGCGAGCGUUAUCCGGAAUUAUUGGGCGUAAAGGGUGCGUAGGCGGCUUGUUAAGUUUAAGGUGAAAGAAUGGGGCUCAACCCCAUAAAGCCUUAGAUACUGGCAAGCUAGAGUACUGGAGAGGGUAGUGGAAUUCCAUGUGUAGCGGUAAAAUGCGUAGAUAUAUGGAGGAACACCGGGUGGCGAAGGCGGCUACCUAGACAGAGACUGACGCUGAGGCACGAAAGCGUGGGGAGCAAAUAGGAUUAGAUACCCUAGUAGUCCACGCCGUAAACGAUGAAUGCUAGAUAUCGGGGCAACUCGGUG
This 809-nucleotide ribosomal RNA is filed under the name uncultured bacterium. Its description in RNAcentral is "bacterial SSU rRNA". It matches the Rfam family "Bacterial small subunit ribosomal RNA", at positions 36 to 845 of the family's 1533-position model. The record is from RNAcentral.